UGGCUCAGUUGGUAGAGCAUGGUGCUUGCAAUGCCACAGUUGUGGGUUCAAUACCCAC
Molecule: non-coding RNA, 58 nt
Organism: Salmo salar (Atlantic salmon)
Lineage: Eukaryota; Metazoa; Chordata; Actinopteri; Salmoniformes; Salmonidae
Source: Rfam